UUUCCAUCAAUUUUUUAUCUUUUUCUUAAUUUCUUUUGAGAGAUUUGAGGUGUGGAUUGAGAAAAUUUUUUUUUCUCUAGAAUUACAAGAGGGGAGGAUGAGAGAGGGCCUAGGAGAGGGGAAGGCUGAGAGAUACAUAAUUACCAUGAUCUAUGACUUUUUGAUGAAUUCCAUGAAAGUAGUCAGGAUAGCUCAAUUAGAGACAUGAGGAUUAGUAGAUAGGGAAGAUGCAAGGGAGCGAAGAGUGGGCCAUGGAGGAGCUAAGAUGUGACAUGAGAGAAAGGUGGAGAGAGAGAGAGAGAGAGAGAUUUGGGCACAAAGUAAGUUAUUUUGGAAUAUCUUUUUUGUUUCAUGAUUUUAGUUAUUUUUAUGCAAGAGAGGAGAGGGAGAGUGCAUGUAGUAAUUAAAUGUGAGAGAACAAUUUGGAUAAUCAACAUAAUUUUAAGUGAGAGAAAUGAUUUUGAAAAA
This 468-nucleotide long non-coding RNA is filed under the name Elaeis guineensis (African oil palm). RNAcentral describes it as "long non-coding RNA (EGUI_LNC048589)". The record is from RNAcentral. Lineage: Eukaryota; Viridiplantae; Streptophyta; Magnoliopsida; Arecales; Arecaceae.